ACUCCUACGGGAGGCAGCAGUGGGGAAUAUUGCACAAUGGGCGCAAGCCUGAUGCAGCCAUGCCGCGUGUAUGAAGAAGGCCUUCGGGUUGUAAAGUACUUUCAGCGGGGAGGAAGGCGAUAAGGUUAAUAACCUUGUCGAUUGACGUUACCCGCAGAAGAAGCACCGGCUAACUCCGUGCCAGCAGCCGCGGUAAUACGGAGGGUGCAAGCGUUAAUCGGAAUUACUGGGCGUAAAGCGCACGCAGGCGGUCUGUCAAGUCGGAUGUGAAAUCCCCGGGCUCAACCUGGGAACUGCAUUCGAAACUGGCAGGCUAGAGUCUUGUAGAGGGGGGUAGAAUUCCAGGUGUAGCGGUGAAAUGCGUAGAGAUCUGGAGGAAUACCGGUGGCGAAGGCGGCCCCCUGGACAAAGACUGACGCUCAGGUGCGAAAGCGUGGGGAGCAAACAGGAUUAGAAACCCGAGUAGUCCCAUGA
This 474-nucleotide ribosomal RNA is filed under the name uncultured organism. Its description in RNAcentral is "partial 16S ribosomal RNA". It matches the Rfam family "Bacterial small subunit ribosomal RNA", at positions 335 to 800 of the family's 1533-position model. The record is from RNAcentral.